This 332-nucleotide unclassified non-coding RNA is filed under the name soil metagenome. RNAcentral's name for it is "partial contains 5.8S ribosomal RNA, internal transcribed spacer 2, and large subunit ribosomal RNA". The stretch from base 1 to 120 matches the Rfam family "5.8S ribosomal RNA", at positions 35 to 154 of the family's 154-position model. The record is from RNAcentral.
GAUGAAGAACUCAGCGAAAUGCGAUAAGUAAUGUGAAUUGCAGAAUUCAGUGAAUCAUCGAAUCUUUGAACGCACAUUGCGCCCGCUAGUAUUCUGGCGGGCAUGCCUGUUCGAGCGUCAUUUCAACCAUCAAGCCCCCGGCUUGCGUUGGAGCCCUGCGGCUGCCGCAGGCUCCCAAAUCCAGUGGCGGGCUCGUCGUCGUACCGAGUGCAGUAAACAUCCUCGCUCAGGGAACGUGACGGGUUCUUGCCGUGAAACCCCCCACAUAUCAAGGUUGACCUCGGAUCAGGUAGGAAUACCCGCUGAACUUAAGCAUAUCAAUAAGCGGAGGA